This 468-nucleotide ribosomal RNA is filed under the name uncultured bacterium. RNAcentral's name for it is "partial 16S ribosomal RNA". It matches the Rfam family "Bacterial small subunit ribosomal RNA", at positions 28 to 507 of the family's 1533-position model. The record is from RNAcentral.
GACGAACGCUGGCGGCGUGCUUAACACAUGCAAGUCGAACGGAAAGGCCCUGCUUUUGUGGGGUGCUCGAGUGGCGAACGGGUGAGUAACACGUGAGUAACCUGCCCUUGACUUUGGGAUAACUUCAGGAAACUGGGGCUAAUACCGGAUAGGAGCUCCUGCUGCAUGGUGGGGGUUGGAAAGUUUCGGCGGUUGGGGAUGGACUCGCGGCUUAUCAGAUUGUUGGUGGGGUAGUGGCUUACCAAGGCUUUGACCGGUAGCCGGCCUGAGAGGGUGACCUGCCCCGUUGGGACUGAAAUACGGCACGGCCUACAACGGGAGGCGACAGUGGAGAAUAGUGCACAAUGGGCGGAAGCCUAAUGCAGCACAGCAGCGUGCGGUAUGACGGCAUUCGGGUUGUGAUCCGCUUUCGCCUGUGACGAAGCGUGAGUGACGGUAAUGGGUGAAGAAGCACCGGCUAACUACGUG